Molecule: long non-coding RNA, 290 nt
Organism: Rhinopithecus roxellana (golden snub-nosed monkey)
Lineage: Eukaryota; Metazoa; Chordata; Mammalia; Primates; Cercopithecidae
Exons: 3
Source: RefSeq, a predicted model, not a curated record
CCUUCCACCAUGUUUGUGAGGCCUCCCCAGUCAUGUGGAAUUAUGAAAAAACACCAGUGAUGUGGCUGGACUCCAGGGUGAAUGGCCAUGUCAGACCCCAGAGAUGCUGCAUCCUUAACCUUAUUCUCCCAACUCAAAGAUUCUCUAGGCAUGGCAGGCUAUGAAGCACAGCCACGAAUCAAGUUGCUGACCGAAGCUGAUUCAAGGCACUUCAUCUUGGAAAUGGACCACUGUAUACAUUUUUCCUUCAGGAGGAAAGAAGGAAGGAAGGAAGAAAAGAAGGAAAGAAG